AAGGUGGAAGGCUACAUCGUCACAAACAUGUCUGACUUCCGUUCGAAACGCCAUUGUGUUCCGGAUUGAUAACAUUAUGUCGUGGUACAAAAUAGCUAUACACCGUUUAAUUGAACUCUUCUAACUAAGGAGACGAGAUAGGACUGAAAUCACCAAAACGCUUAGAAAAUAUGUCAAUAAUUCUUCCUGUUUAAAGCUUUUAACUAACAUUGAUUAUCAGCUGUUUUGUACGGAAAACGUGGACUCUAAAUAAUAUACCGUUUCCCUGCUCUGCUGCUAUUGGCAAUACAUUUUUGUCAUGUCAUCUGCAACAGACGAUCAUACAUAUGUGGCGGAUUAUCGAUAUAGAUACAGCUAGGUAGCAAUAGCAGUGGAAGCCCGGAUUUGCAAGCAAAAUGAGGGAAAGACAGGAUUCUGAAAAGGAGCACGUUUUUCAUUUCCACACAUGCAUGUGUAUCACUAUGGACAUCUAAUGUUUUUGUGGGAUUUUGUCCAGCAGUUUGCCUUAACAGAAUUUUUUUAUAGUUUAGUUUCAUAUUUAUGUGGAUUCCAAUAAAAAUCAUACAAACUUCAUUCAUUAUUUUUUUGUUUUUCAUUUCUAAACUUAAUAACAUUUCACUUUCAUAAGAAUUUUAAAACAGAAAUGUUUAAAAAUUUGAUAAAUAUGGGGUUAUCUGGAACCAGACUGAUAUUUUAAAAAUUCUCUAGAAAAUAGUGUAUUGUAUUUUGAGGUAUAUUAUUGUUGAAUACUGUGCCUAGUAUUGGUAACAAAUGCAUGCAACAAAAAUCUCCUACACUUAUUUGGUGUAGAGAUCCACCUUAAACAAAGAACCUCGUUUUAGAAGUAUGGAAUACGAGUCUUGGUAAAAUGGGUAAGCAAAACCGGGCCGUGGCAAAAUAAAAGCCGGGGCAGAUCGGCAAUCGUCAAUUCCAAAUACGCAUUAUUUUGCAGCAAUAUUUACAGCAAAUACAAAUAUACUGGUCCAUCAAAUAUCCUGAAAUUUCAAUGAGAUUGGCAGAAUAAUAACUGCUUAUCUUUUGUUUUGCCCAGGCCAAGUCUUGUCUACCCAUUUUACCGGAU
Molecule: long non-coding RNA, 1081 nt
Organism: Magallana angulata
Lineage: Eukaryota; Metazoa; Mollusca; Bivalvia; Ostreida; Ostreidae
Exons: 3
Source: RefSeq, a predicted model, not a curated record